AGCAGCCGCGGUAAUUCCAGCUCCAAUAGCGUAUAUUAAAGUUGUUGCAGUUAAAAGCUCGUAGUUGAAUUUCGGGGUCAGCGGGUUGGUCGUGCCAAUGCUAUGCACUGGCCUUGCUGAUUCCUCCCUCUUGAUGAGCCGUAAUGUCAUUAAUUUGGUGUUGCGGGGAAUCAGGACUGUUACUUUGAAAAAUUGAGCGUUUAAAGCAGGCAAGCGCUUGAAUACAUUAGCAUGGAAUAAUGAAAUAGGACGUUUGAUCCUAUUUUGUUGGUUUCUAGGAUUGACGUAAUGAUUAAUAGGGAUAGUUGGAGGCAUUAGUAUUCAAUUGUCAGAGGUGAAAUUCUUGGAUUUUAUGAAGACUUAACUACUGCGAAAGCAUUUG
This 382-nucleotide unclassified non-coding RNA is filed under the name uncultured Archaeospora. RNAcentral describes it as "SSU rRNA". It matches the Rfam family "Eukaryotic small subunit ribosomal RNA", at positions 569 to 957 of the family's 1831-position model. Lineage: Eukaryota; Fungi; Glomeromycota; Glomeromycetes; Archaeosporales; Archaeosporaceae. The record is from RNAcentral.